RNAcentral lists this ribosomal RNA (500 nucleotides) under uncultured bacterium. Its description in RNAcentral is "partial 16S ribosomal RNA". It matches the Rfam family "Bacterial small subunit ribosomal RNA", at positions 30 to 523 of the family's 1533-position model. The record is from RNAcentral.
AUUGAACGCUGGCGGCAUGCCUUACACAUGCAAGUCGAACGGCAGCGGGGACUUCGGUCCGCCGGCGAGUGGCGAACGGGUGAGUAACGUAUCGGAACGUACCAUUGAGUGGGGGAUAACGUAGCGAAAGUUACGCUAAUACCGCAUAUUCUCUCCGGAGGAAAGCAGGGGACCGCAAGGCCUCGCGCUCUUUGAGCGGCCGAUAUCAGAUUAGCUAGUUGGUGAGGUAAAGGCUCACCAAGGCGACGAUCUGUAGCGGGUCUGAGAGGAUGAUCCGCCACACUGGAACUGGGACACGGUCCAGACUCCUACGGGAGGCAGCAGUGGGGAAUUUUGGACAAUGGGGGCAACCCUGAUCCAGCCAUGCCGCGUGAGUGAAGAAGGCCUUCGGGUUGUAAAGCUCUUUCGGCCGGGAAAAAAUCGCAUGGGCUAAUACCCUGUGUGGAUGAUGGUACCGGAAUAAGAAGCACCGGCUAACUACGUGCCAGCAGCCGCCGUAA